This 481-nucleotide ribosomal RNA is filed under the name uncultured bacterium. RNAcentral's name for it is "partial 16S ribosomal RNA". It matches the Rfam family "Bacterial small subunit ribosomal RNA", at positions 28 to 507 of the family's 1533-position model. The record is from RNAcentral.
GAUGAACGCUGGCGGCGUGCCUAACACAUGCAAGUCGAACGGAGAUUACGGACGGAAGUUUUCGGAUGGAAGACUGUAAUUCUUAGUGGCGGACGGGUGAGUAACGCGUGGGCAACCUGCCCUAUACAGGGGGAUAGCAGCUGGAAACGGCUGGUAAGACCGCAUAAGUCGGCGAGACCGCAUGGUUUUGCCGGGAAAUGAGCAAUCAGGUAUAGGAUGGGCCCGCGUCCGAUUAGCCAGUUGGCAGGGUAAAAGCCUACCAAAGCAACGAUCGGUAGCCGGACUGAGAGGUCGGACGGCAACAUUGGGACUGAGACACGGCCCAAACUCCUACGGGAGGCAGCAGUGGGGGAUAUUGCACAAUGGAGGAAACUCUGAUGCAGCGACGCCGCGUGAGUGAAGAAGUAUUUCGGUAUGUAAAGCUCUAUCAGCAGGGAAGAUGAUGACGGUACCUGACGAAGAAGCCCCGGCUAACUACGUG